RNAcentral lists this ribosomal RNA (1529 nucleotides) under Lignincola laevis. Its description in RNAcentral is "eukaryotic LSU rRNA". It matches the Rfam family "Eukaryotic large subunit ribosomal RNA", at positions 19 to 1316 of the family's 3401-position model. The record is from RNAcentral. Lineage: Eukaryota; Fungi; Ascomycota; Sordariomycetes; Microascales; Halosphaeriaceae.
GGUUACCCGCUGAACUUAAGCAUAUCAAUAUGCGGAGGAUAAGAGACCAACAGGGAUUGCCUCAGUAACGGCGAGUGAAGCGGCAACAGCUCAAAUUUGAAAUCUGGCGCCCUUGGGUGUCCGAGUUGUAAUUUGCAGAGGAUGCUUUGGGCGAGGUGUCGGAUUGUUUCGGACUUGAUGUCACAGGCUUCCUCGACCUUCAAUGAUCAUUUUAGAUGAUGCCCGCCUCCAAUCUGCUUCUUUUUAUUGUCUGUGUUCUCCUUUCCUUCUGGUCCUGGGGGUCUCUUGCCCUCGGGCCAGUUUUACUAGAUCUAGCUGACUAAUAGGGACUAGUCCCUUCUGGGACCGUCCCUGGAAUUGGCCUCAGCUCCCUGAAUACCGGGUAUAUCCCCAUUCUUGGGGAUUGUGUCCUUGCUACCAAUCUGACACGAGGUGCCUUCCGAGUUUCCUGGAACGGAACGCCAUAGAGGGUGAGAGCCCCGUACGGUGUGGCACCGAGCCUCUGUAAAGCUCCCUCGACGAGUCGAGUAGUUUGGGAAUGCUGCUCUAAAUGGGAGGUAAACUCCUUCUAAAGCUAAAUAUCUGCCAGAGACCGAUAGCGCACAAGUAGAGUGAUCGAAAGAUGAAAAGCACUUUGAAAAGAGAGUUAAACAGCACGUGAAAUUGUUGAAAGGGAAGCGCUCGUGACCAGACUUGGUGCGGCGGUUCAGCAGUCCUUCUGGGCUGUGCACUCCGCCGCCCCANGCCAGCAUCAGCUGCCGGUUGGGGAAAAGGCGGUGGGAAUGUGGCCCUUCGGGGUGUUAUAGCCCGCCGUCAUGCCCUUCCGGCGGUUGAGGAUAGCGUCUUGCACGGAUGCUGGCGUAAUGGUCCCUAGCGACCCGUCUUGAAACANNNNNNNNNNNNNNNNNNNNNNNNGCGAGUGUUAGGGUGUCAAUCCCCAGCGCGAAAUGAAAGUGAACGGAGGUGGGAGCCUCGGCGCACCAUCGACCGAUCCUGAAGUUUACUGAUGGAUUUGAGUAAGAGCACAGCGGACUGGACCCGAAAGAAGGCGAACUAUGCUUGGAUAGGGCAAAGCCAGAGGAAACUCUGGUGGAGGGUUCUGACGUGCAAAUCGAUCGUCAAAUCUGAGCAUGGGGGCGAAAGACUAAUCGAGCCUUCUAGUAGCUGGUUUCCGCCGAAGUUUCCCUCAGGAUAGCAGUGCUAAUUCUCAGUUUUAUGAGGUAAAGCGAAUGAUUAGGGACUCGGGGGCGCUAUUUAGCCUUCAUCCAUUCUCAAACUUUAAAUAUGUAAGAAGCCUCCGGUGCUUGGGUGACCGGAAGCAUUAGAAUGUACAGCACUAGUGGGCCAUUUUUGGUAAGCAGAACUGGCGAUGCGGGAUGAACCGAUCGCGGGGUUAAGGUGCCGGAGUGGUCGCUCAUCAGACACCACAAAAGGUGUUAUCACAUCUUGACAGCAGGACGGUGGCCAUGGAAGUCGGAAUCCGCUAAGGACUGUGUAACAACUCACCUGCCGAAUGUGAUAGCCCUGAA